UAUGGUAAUUGUGUGCCAGCCUCCGCUUUACUACGUAGGUGGCAAGCGUUGUCCGGAUUUACUGGGUGUAAAGGGCGUGCAGCCGGGCAUGCAAGUCAGAUGUGAAAUCUCAGGGCUUAACCCUGAAACUGCAUUUGAAACUGUAUGUCUUGAGUGCCGGAGAGGUAAUCGGAAUUCCUUGUGUAGCGGUGAAAUGCGUAGAUAUAAGGAAGAACACCAGUGGCGAAGGCGGAUUACUGGACGGUAACUGACGGUGAGGCGCGAAAGCGUGGGGAGCGAACAGG
This 284-nucleotide ribosomal RNA is filed under the name Oscillibacter ruminantium GH1. RNAcentral's name for it is "partial 16S ribosomal RNA". It matches the Rfam family "Bacterial small subunit ribosomal RNA", at positions 492 to 776 of the family's 1533-position model. Lineage: Bacteria; Bacillati; Bacillota; Clostridia; Eubacteriales; Oscillospiraceae. The record is from RNAcentral.